UACACCCGAUCCCAUCCCGAACUCGGCCGUGAAAACCCCCAGCGCCAAUGGUACUGCGUCUUAAGACGUGGGAGAGUAGGUCGCCGCCAGGU
Molecule: ribosomal RNA, 92 nt
Filed under: Nitrospirillum amazonense
Lineage: Bacteria; Pseudomonadati; Pseudomonadota; Alphaproteobacteria; Rhodospirillales; Azospirillaceae
Source: RNAcentral